Lasiosphaeris hirsuta is the source of this 98-nucleotide non-coding RNA. The record is from the annotation of a GenBank genome assembly. NCBI's taxonomy places the organism in Eukaryota, Fungi, Ascomycota, Sordariomycetes, Sordariales, Lasiosphaeriaceae.
GGCUCAGUGGUCUAGUGGUAUGAUUCGUGCUUCGGGUAAUUCCCACACUUGAAAUAAGUGCUUGUGCGAGGUCUCGGGUUCAAUCCCCGACUGAGCCC